AGAGUUUGAUCCUGGCUCAGGAUAAACGUUGGCGGUGUGCUUUAUGCAUGCAAGUCGUACGAGGCUAUAGUUUUCGGAUUAUAGUUUAGUGGCAAAUGGCUGAGUAAUACAUAGGUAACCUGCCUGUGAGUGGUGGAUAACUUGCUGAAAGGCAAGCUAAUACAGCAUGUGGUGAGCAAGGAUUUCUUGUUUAUCAAAGCCUUCGGGCGCUCGCAGAGGGGCCUAUGCCUGAUUAGCUAGUUGGUGAGGUAACGGCUCACCAAGGCUUUGAUCAGUAGCUGGUCUGAGAGGAUGGUCAGCCAGAUGGGGACUGAGAUACGGCCCCAACUCCUACGGGAGGCAGCAGCAAGGAAUAUUGGGCAAUGGGCGAAAGCCUGACCCAGCGACACCGCGUGAGGGAUUAAGGCCUUCGGGUUGUAAACCUCUUUUCUCGAGGAAGAAGCUCUGACGGUACUCGAGGAAUAAGCCACGGCUAACUACGUGCCAGCAGCCGCGGUAAUACGUAGGUGGCAAACGUUGUCCGGAUUUAUUGGGCGUAAAGAGAGUGUAGGCGGCUUAUUAAGUCAAGUGUUAAAUCUUCUGACUCAAUCAGGAGCUGCAUUUGAUACUGGUAGGCUUGAGUGCAGCAGAGGAAAACGGAAUUCCCAGUGUAGCGGUGAAAUGCGUUGAUAUUGGGAAGAACACCAGAGGCGAAGGCGGUUUUCCAGGCUGUGUCUGACGCUGAGACUCGAAAGCGUGGGGAGCGAAGCGGAUUAGAUACCCGCGUAGUCCACGCCUUAAACGGUGGACAUUAGGUAUGGGAAGUAUCGACCCUUUCUGUGCCGUAGCUAACGCUUUAAAUGUCCCGCCUGGGAGUACGGUCGCAAGGCUAAAACUCAAAGGAAUUGACGGGGGUCCGCACAAGCAGCGAGCGUGUGGUUUAAUUCGAUGAUACACGAAGAACCUUACCAGGGUUUGACAUGUCAGAAGUAGGAAGCCGAAAGGUUUACGACCUGUAUCCAAUCAGGAACUGUCACAGGUGCUGCAUGGCUGUCGUCAGCUCGUGCCGUGAGGUGUUGGGUUAAGUCCCGCAACGAGCGCAACCCUUGUUCUAUGUUAAUUUCUCAUAGAAGACUGCCUUGUACAGCAAGGAGGAAGAGGAGGAUGACGUCAAGUCAGCAUGGCCUUUAUGCCCUGGGCUACACACACGCUACAAUGGGUAAUACAGAGGGUUGCCAAAGAGCGAUCUGGAGCUAAUCCCUUAAAAUUAUCCUCAGUUCAGAUUGUAGGCUGAAACCGCCUGCAUGAAGUCGGAGUUGCUAGUAAUCGCAGGUCAGCUAUACUGCGGUGAAUAUGUUCUCGGACCUUGUACACACCGCCCGUCACGUCGUGGAAGUUGGAAACACCUGAAGUCAAUGUGUUAACUUGCUUAGGUAAGAAAUAGUUGUUGAAGGUGGAGCUGAUAACUGUGGCGAAGUC
This 1458-nucleotide ribosomal RNA is filed under the name metagenome. RNAcentral's name for it is "bacterial SSU rRNA". It matches the Rfam family "Bacterial small subunit ribosomal RNA". The record is from RNAcentral.